GGGGUUCGGCCGCUCCAAGUUCGGCGGUGCCGUGGCUCGGAGGCGCUUUGGAGGCGUUGAUGGCAUCGCUGGGUUCGGUUUGCAGCGGGUGUCCGCUAAGGGAUAUGGUGUUCUUCCUGAGCGGCACGGUUCUCGGUGCCGGUAGAGAUGAUAAAGGGUACUGAGAAAAUACGUCUCCCUUAGAGUCCCGCGGAAAGGUUCUCAGUGCGCUCUCUAUCAAGGAAGUGUUGGAAGUUAGUGUUUUGGGAAAGAAACGGCAGUUCCACAGAACAUUCCAUUUCACAGAGGCUCUGGGAACGAUUCAUGUUUGCUAUGAGUCUUGAUAAAUUGGAGAAGAGCCCAAGAGAAAUUUUUCAUCCCUUGAUAUAAAAGGAUUUAUUGGUUCUGGAAGAACAAGAGGGAAGUACAAGCCUAACUACUUCUAGCUCACAGGCCCGUCCGGUGAACCCAGGGAUCGGUGAAUUUUAACUUUGGAGUCCCCUAUGCUAAGGAUGCUCAGCUUACAGGUGAUGAAAUGUUCAGUAAUGUAUUUGCUGCAGCUCUGCUUACCCAAGCUUUGGGUUCCUUCUGUCCCACUGGGAGUUGCCCAGUUUGGUUGCAUCUGGUGAAAUUCACCCUGAGACCUUACAGAACUAGCUCCAACUACGUGAGAGCCAUUUGCAGUUCUCUCCAGACACCUGGAGAAUGGGUGACGUUUCUGAGGAUCCGGCGAGCGUGCUUCUGUCAAAACUCAGUCUGUGAAAUUCCUGGGGAAAACCCUUCUGUGUCCUGAAGGGUUCAAACUCUGGUGAGGAUCCAGUUAUCAGGGGCUCACCUGGAUGGUUCCAGCUCCCAAAGGGAAAGACUCUCGUAUCCUUGUCGUCGGGCUCGGUGCUGUCCAAGAAGAUACGGGGACUAAAAAAAUCAUAAGAAGCAAAAUAUGACUGCAGGGAAAAGAAGCUGGAGAGAACAGAAGACUCAUCACGGCGGGACAGCGUGAGGACUGAAAGUGUAAGAAGAUGUGGAGGGAAACAGAGAAUCUGACAGGAGCAUCGGAGGGACGAGUGCAGGAAUUUUGCUUUUUGCUUGGAUGUAAACUCAGGAGUUGAGAGGAAUUUGGGAGUGAGAAGGGACAUCUCAGAAGGAGAAGAAGAAAAAGAGGUUGUUGUUGUUGUUACAGUCCUGGCAAAAUCUUUUGUUCUAGCUAAUAAAAGAAGUUAGUUUAAAAAACAAAAAGGAAAAAAUGUAGUGUUUUUUUUUUCCUUCACUAUGAUAUUCAUUGGUGGUAUAUGGUGUGUUGUUUCAUUUCUUGGUAUUAUUAACUCUGUGUAAAUUGUUUUUUGAGUGAAGCUGACUUUCUGGAUGGGUUGGUUUGUAUUUGAGGCAGGAUUAAUUUCAGUAGGGUUCUUUCAUAGAUUUCUGAUGGGUAUUACUGGGAUUUUGGUUUUGUUUACUGUAUGUAUAAACCUAGAGCUUUGGUAGGGCCAGCUGGGCUGCUGGAGUUUUGGGUGUGAAUUUAUUAGAUGGCUUUUGUUAGAUGCAGUUUUUAAUUU
Long non-coding RNA from Melospiza melodia melodia, 1532 nucleotides. RefSeq lists it as uncharacterized. NCBI's taxonomy places the organism in Eukaryota, Metazoa, Chordata, Aves, Passeriformes, Passerellidae. The record is from RefSeq and is a predicted model, not a curated record. The transcript is spliced from 9 exons.